GCAUUAUUAAACCAUCCAAGCAUGCUGGUCUCAACCACAAAAUUUAAUUUUCCCUACUGCAGGGACUAAUCAACCACCACAGACUUUAAGUCCUGAGGAGACUGUUUUUAUCUGUAUUUUUGCCCCCUCGGACUGAAGGAGAGUUAAUUUUACAGUUUUGUCUGUCCUCGGGGCUUCAAACAGUGACAGACAUUCAGCUUGAUGGGAAACAGAUAAGUGGAAUUUUUAUGAAUUCAUCCUGUGACAUAUAUUAAAGGAAGAUGAAAGCUUAAAAGUAGCCAGUAACACCUCAGCAAAUAUUUUUUGAGGACCCCAGUAUUCCUUCAAAAAAAAAGGAGGCAAAACUUACCCAAGGAAAAUAAAUUCAGUACUUGACAUCAUCUAAGUCUUGUACUUUCUAAAACUGAGGGUAUCCAAAGACUUAUGAGGCAGUCUCAGGCAUAAGAUCCAUGGAGGGAUGCUUUGGAUUGGCCUCAUCAACACAGACUCACUCCUUGAGAAAACUGAUAUUGUCCUUCACCAUGGGCAGGGGCCAAGUGGAACCACAGCACACAAGAUGCUCAAAGGGGAGGAAAAACUUUACAGGAGGAGAGAUAUGACUUUCUGGAAGAAAUGUGGUCUCAGCUUGGCUACCAUCUACAGAGACUUUUCCCUCCAUGGUUCCCUGAACACCUAGGAACUGGCUGCAAGAGUUUCUCCAUGGAGGGCUCCUGAAGUUGGAAAUCUUAUUCAUUCUCUCUCUCUCUCUCUCUCUCUCAUUGAUCAAAGGAGUGGGUUAACCCCACCCACCCCAGGAUGUGGUGGCAGACACAUCUGUUCAGUCUGGCUUACUGCCAACAGGGGAUUUACUUUCUGGAGUGGAGGGGAGAGGAACUUUUAUGUAAGGAGGGGAUUUAUUGUUGGCUGACGGGGUGUGGCGAGGGUGAAGGGUGGGAACCACUUCAGUUUUGUGGCCGGAUUGUCUGCCUUUUUUUGUACUGCACAGUUUAAUCUUUGUAUGUGGUUUUCAGGACUUUUGUGAGGGGGGCAAGUGCUGAGUCAGUGAACUUUAACGAUGAACCCAAACACUUUUUGAGAAUAAACUAUAGACCCCAAGGAGCA
Molecule: long non-coding RNA, 1101 nt
Filed under: Vombatus ursinus (common wombat)
Lineage: Eukaryota; Metazoa; Chordata; Mammalia; Diprotodontia; Vombatidae
Description: lncRNA (ENSVURG00010004894.1)
Source: RNAcentral